RNAcentral lists this ribosomal RNA (488 nucleotides) under uncultured Parasegetibacter sp. Its description in RNAcentral is "bacterial SSU rRNA". It matches the Rfam family "Bacterial small subunit ribosomal RNA", at positions 29 to 507 of the family's 1533-position model. The record is from RNAcentral. Lineage: Bacteria; Pseudomonadati; Bacteroidota; Chitinophagia; Chitinophagales; Chitinophagaceae.
AUGAACGCUAGCGGCAGGCUUAAUACAUGCAAGUCGAGGGGUAGCAGGUCUGUAGCAAUACAGAUGCUGACGACCGGCAAACGGGUGCGGAACACGUACAGAACCUUCCUUCGAGUGGGAGAUAGCCCAGGGAAACUUGGAGUAAUAUCCCAUAGGAUCAUAGAGUGGCAUCACUUAGUGAUUAAAGAUUUAUCGCUUGAAGAUGGCUGUGCGGCUGAUUAGGUAGUUGGUGUAGGUAACGGCUCACCAAGCCUUCGAUCAGUAACUGGUGUGAGAGCACGACCAGUCACACGGGCACUGAGACACGGGCCCGACUCCUACGGGAGGCAGCAGUAAGGAAUAUUGGGCAAUGGAGGCAACUCUGACCCAGCCAUGCCGCGUGGAGGAUGAAGGUCCUCUGGAUUGUAAACUUCUUUUAUUUGGGAAGAAAUGCCAUUUUUCUAAAUGGUUUGACGGUACCAGAUGAAUAAGCACCGGCUAACUCCGUG